GAAGGAUAUGCCUUAUUCGUCAACUCCUUCGACCGGAGACUUAGGAGACUCCUACCAUAUGUUACUGCACCUUGAUACUCGGAAAUCUCAUAACCACUCAGUGACUUGGAUUUUUCAAUUCUCCAAACGAGAAGUUUUCCUCACUCGAGAAAUUAAGGGAGCACUACCUCAACCUACAUGCUUCACUCACAAAACUUCAACAAAAGGAAAAAUUUAAAGAACUUAGUGAAUAAGGCCUUGGUGUAUUUAACACAAUACAUUGAAAUGAAGCAAAGCUUGUUUAUUGAUAUCUCCGAUAAGUUACAAAUAUGUACAUAUACAUCAAUCAAAAUAAACAAACAAGAGGGAGUCUUCACAAAGGUUGCUCAGAAGAAGUCUCAGCAGUCGGCAGAACCCUAGAAAGAUG
Molecule: long non-coding RNA, 406 nt
Filed under: Malus domestica (apple)
Lineage: Eukaryota; Viridiplantae; Streptophyta; Magnoliopsida; Rosales; Rosaceae
Description: long non-coding RNA (MDOM_LNC000929)
Source: RNAcentral